CCUACGGGGGGCAGCAGUGGGGAAUAUUGGACAAUGGGGGGAACCCUGAUCCAGCCAUGCCGCGUGUGUGAAGAAGGCCCUCGGGUUGUAAAGCACUUUCAGUGAGGAAGAACGCCUGGUGGUUAAUACCCAUCAGGAAAGACAUCACUCACAGAAGAAGCACCGGCUAACUCCGUGCCAGCAGCCGCGGUAAUACGGAGGGUGCGAGCGUUAAUCGGAAUUACUGGGCGUAAAGCGCGCGUAGGUGGCUUGAUAAGCCGGUUGUGAAAGCCCCGGGCUCAACCUGGGAACGGCAUCCGGAACUGUCAAGCUAGAGUGCAGGAGAGGAAGGUAGAAUUCCCGGUGUAGCGGUGAAAUGCGUAGAGAUCGGGAGGAAUACCAGUGGCGAAGGCGGCCUUCUGGACUGACACUGACACUGAGGUGGGAAAGCGUGGGUAGCAAACAGGAUUAGAUACCCGAGUAGUC
Molecule: ribosomal RNA, 465 nt
Filed under: Vreelandella stevensii
Lineage: Bacteria; Pseudomonadati; Pseudomonadota; Gammaproteobacteria; Oceanospirillales; Halomonadaceae
Description: partial 16S ribosomal RNA
Rfam family: Bacterial small subunit ribosomal RNA
Source: RNAcentral